This 254-nucleotide ribosomal RNA is filed under the name uncultured prokaryote. Its description in RNAcentral is "partial 16S ribosomal RNA". It matches the Rfam family "Bacterial small subunit ribosomal RNA", at positions 525 to 777 of the family's 1533-position model. The record is from RNAcentral.
ACGGAGGAUCCAAGCGUUAUCCGGAAUUACUGGGCGUAAAGAGUUGCGUAGGUGGCAUGGUAAGUUGAUAGUGAAAGCGUGCGGCUCAACCGCAUACACAUUAUCAAAACUGCCAAGCUAGAGGAUGAGAGAGGUUAUUGGGAUUCCUAGUGUAGGAGUGAAAUCCGUAGAUAUUAGGAGGAACACCGAUGGCGUAGGCAGAUAACUGGCUCAUUCCUGACACUAAGGCACGAAAGCGUGGGGAGCAAACGGGA